This 465-nucleotide ribosomal RNA is filed under the name uncultured bacterium. RNAcentral describes it as "partial 16S ribosomal RNA". It matches the Rfam family "Bacterial small subunit ribosomal RNA", at positions 28 to 507 of the family's 1533-position model. The record is from RNAcentral.
GACGAACGCUGGCGGCGUGCUUAACACAUGCAAGUCGUACGGUAAGGCCCUUUCGGGGGUACACGAGUGGCGAACGGGUGAGUAACACGUGAGUAACCUGCCCACAACUUUGGGAUAACGCUAGGAAACUGGUGCUAAUACUGGAUAUGUGCUCCUGCUGCAUGGUGGGGGUUGGAAAGCUCCGGCGGUUGUGGAUGGACUCGCGGCCUAUCAGCUUGUUGGUGGGGUAGUGGCCUACCAAGGCGGCGACGGGUAGCCGGCCUGAGAGGGUGACCGGCCACAUUGGGACUGAGAUACGGCCCAGACUCCUACGGGAGGCAACAGUGGGGAAUAUUGCACAAUGGGCGCAAGGCUGAUGCAGCAACGCCGCGUGCGGGAUGACGGGCUUCGGGUUGUAAACCGCUUUCAGCAGGGACGAAGCUUUUUGUGACGGUACCUUCAGAAGAAGCACCGGCUAACUACGUG